AACCACAUCUUCAGACCACAGAUAGAACGAGCAAUUCAUGAGUUCCUGGCAGCCCAGAAAAAAGAAGCCGUGCCAGCACCACCUCCAGAACCUGAAAGCCAGGACCCUGCUGCUCCAUCGCAGGACGCUUCCUAAAAAUAUGCCUGACAUGUUUUGGAAGCUCCAUUGAAUUAACGGUGAAGACCUGGAUUCAGUUACAUAAGAGCACAACUUCAGAAUGAAGACAGGCCGAAGUCCUCACUGACUUCAGAAUUCAAUGCUGACUGUGGGGCGGUGUCCAGAGGGAAUAGGGAGCAAGUGGGGCUAUAGAAAAGUUGACCAUGUGGGCCCCCACAUUAUGCUGCCGUCCAGCUAGCCUGUCCAAGAGGGUGACACACCGUAGACACUACAGACAUACUAAGAAACACUACAUCACUUUGGGGUUUGUCCUGAAGCGAACCUUUGUACUUGAACUUAGAGACUGUGUAUGGAUUUUAGGGUUUGUGCUUGAUGAUAAACAGAAGCUACAGUGAAGGAACAUAACCAGUCCUAAAGAUGCAGUUUCAAAGAAAGUAAAAGUUAGCCAGGUGUGGUAGAGUUUUAACAAUGCUUAUUUGAUACUAUCAGUUUCUGAGAGUUGCAAAUCAGAGUUUACAGGCCAGUAGCAUCAAACAGCUGUAAGGUCACUGUGACCCCGUUGUAGGUGACUUUUUUAGCUACCACUUCCUUUCCCCUGCAAGAGGUGUCAAGAGUAGGACCCUGGAAUGCCUGAGGAGAUGCAGACUUAAGUGCAAGGAGAAACAUUGGCAGGCUGUCCGUCUAGGGCUCCUUCCUGUCCUGCAAGGGCUAGUGAGUUGGGUGUGUUUAUUUUAUUCUCAUGUUUGUGUUUAGAAAGUGAAUAAAGGGACUUGAGUUUUGUAAUUAAAUCAUUUGAUACUCUGAAA
This is a non-coding RNA of Odocoileus virginianus texanus, 923 nucleotides long. NCBI's taxonomy places the organism in Eukaryota, Metazoa, Chordata, Mammalia, Artiodactyla, Cervidae. The record is from RefSeq and is a predicted model, not a curated record.